RNAcentral lists this small RNA (53 nucleotides) under Helianthus annuus (common sunflower). Its description in RNAcentral is "sRNA HanXRQr2_Chr04g0190081". The record is from RNAcentral. Lineage: Eukaryota; Viridiplantae; Streptophyta; Magnoliopsida; Asterales; Asteraceae.
GUGCCUGUGAUGAUUCAUUUUAAAAAUGUUGGAAUUACCGACUGAUUUUUUUG